RNAcentral lists this microRNA precursor (195 nucleotides) under Oryza sativa Japonica Group (Japanese rice). Its description in RNAcentral is "MIR812 microRNA precursor family". It matches the Rfam family "MIR812 microRNA precursor family". Lineage: Eukaryota; Viridiplantae; Streptophyta; Magnoliopsida; Poales; Poaceae. The record is from Rfam by way of RNAcentral.
UAUAAGGGAUUUUGAGUUUUUUGUUGCAACGUUUGACCACUCGUCUUAUUCAAAUUUUUUUGAAAUUAUUAUUUAUUUUAUUUGUGACUUACUUUAUUAUCCACAGUACUUUAAGCACAACUUUUCGUUUUUUAUAUUUACAAAAAAAUUUAAAUAAGACGGGUGGUUAAAUGUUGCAAGCAAAAAAAACUCAAA